AGUUCUGUUUUGUCAAUUCAAAAAUCUUAACCUUACUUUUACAAGUGAUUAGGAUUAUUAUUUUAUUUACAUAUAAAUUGAAACAAUAAAUAUUGUGCUGUGUCAUAAUUUAAAACUCAUUAUGUUGCAGUCUUUUCCAGUUGAUAAAAUUGCAAUUCAAAAACUUUUAGAUUUGCACUAGAUUGGCACAGAAAGAGAACAGUACAAGAACAUGAAACAUCUUAUUAUGAAUGUAUAUGUAAGUGAUCCUCAAAAAAUUAUUUUACAAAACAAGAUAGAGAAAGAGCUUUAAAAUCCCAAGGAUCCUGCAAAAUGUUUAUUUGGUGUACUAGUCGAAUAAUAGUAUCUAAAAAUAUUGAAACUAUUUUAAAACAUAUUACGGACACGAGGAUGAUAUAGAGCACUUACAUAAAUACCAAAAUCAGAUAAAUAUCUCUUCAAAGUUUAUUUUGAGACUUUCUUCAAAAAUGUAAGUAAAAUAUUUGCAUAUCGACGGCGGAAAGGUAGGACUUCGUAACUGAAAAAAUUUUAUAACAUGAGUUAAUUCAGUUUUCGCUUUAGAAUAAGUGUAUCGGCAGCUAUUAAACAGCGAUUACAGCUGGGAAAGUUUCCGGAAGGCUUCUAGAAGGCUUUCCCAGCUCUAAAAGCUGUUUAAUAGGUGCUGAUGCACUUAUUAUAAAUCGAAAACCGAAGUAACUCAUUUUAUACAAAUUUUUCAGUUAUGAGGUCCUGCCUUUCCGCCGUCGAUAUACACAAUAUAAUUUAAAACAAGAAUGUUACCACUAAACCACUUUUUUAAAUAUUACUCAUGAAUAUUUACUACAUUUUACAAUUUCAAACUAGUGUGUUUGAUUCUCCUAUACCUAUAUUUUACUUUUUUAGUAAACUUCAGACUGUUCAGGAUAGCAUAAUAGCAUAGGAGGCGAAUUAAAAAGAAUUAAUUUACUUACAAGUAAAGAUAUCACAAACAUUAAACUAUCUUAUGCUUACAGACUCAUGUCCAAUAUUAUUUUACAAACAACAGGGCAUACUAAUGGAUAUUCAUUCUGAAUUUAAUAUUUAUGAUUUUUGUCUUAUUUUCCUUAAUACUGUGCAAAAAUGAAAUGUUAAUUAAGUGUGGUAAAUCCUUUAUCGCAAUCGAUGGAACUCAUAGGCUCAAUUCCUAUGACUUUGAACUUAUGACAGUAUUAGUAAAAGAUGAAUUUGGGAAUGGAUUUUGUACUGCUUUCUUAUUUUCAAAUAGAAAAAAUACCUACUUUAAUUUACCGAUUUUUUAAAUACAUGUCUGUGUUGGUAUUAUAUGUAUAGUCAAAUGUUUUCAUAUCAGGCAUAAGCGACACCUUUUACAAUGCCUCGUCAAAUGUAAUGGGUAUUGCUCCUAAUAGACUGUUAAGUGCCUGGCACAUAGAUAGGGCAUGGUAAGUAAAUCUUAAUAAAAUAUCUGAUUCUGAAAAAAAUCCUAUUAUGUAUACAAGAUGUAUUAAUGAUGGUUUAGAGAGUAUUAAUAGCUUUUUGGGUAGACUUCUAAGUGAUGCAGAUACAUACAAUUUUAGUAAGUAUUUCCAGUAGAACUAGUGCAAUAACAUCCAACAAUGGGCCUAUUGUUAUAGGAAGGGGUUGUGGAAUUAAUACCAAUAUGACCAUUCAAAAUUUUCAUAAAAUUUUGGAUAAAAGGGUAUCCAUUAGUUGUUAUCAGUUAAGUUUGAAACUUCGCACUUAUGGAGAGCUAUACCAUAAUAUAUAAUAUGUAUAUCUCAUAAUAUUACAUCUCAUAUUGCUCACUCAUUACAAUAGUGAGCAAUAUGAGAUAUAACAUAUUAUAGUAUAAGUCUCUGUGCAUGACCAGAUUAACAUGUUUGGUGCCCAUCUCGAACAAGCUCCACUUGGCUGGUACCACAUACUUAAAUCAUUUAUUUAGUUACACAGUACUACUCACAUAACUUAUGUGUCGUCAGUACCUUCCGUAAAACCUUCGUGAUGCUACCCAUAUGUCAUGGCCACUGAAUGUGUUAAAGCGUGUUAAUGUAGGAGAGUUAUACUAAAAUAUAUAUCUUAUAUUAUAUUGCCUUAAAUAGAAAAAAUAUCUUAUUUAAAUUGUAUCCAUGUAAGUUUUGAUUUAAUGAAAUAAACCUUUUAAUCAAAAAAGUGUUGUUUACUUGUGUACACCCAGCAAUAUCCUGAUCAUAGAUAAAUAAUAUAGUAUUACCGGAUCCUGAUAUGCAGACGCCAAUAGGGCUUUUCAUCGAUUGUCAUUUGUUUCGAGCUUCUGUCAUGAGUCACAUAAUAUUAAUGUAUCUACGUCAUACGUCUUUGGUUUGUAUCAUUGGUAUAUAGCAUAUACCAAUAACGUAUGACGUAAAUAUAUUAAUAUUAUGAGACACAUGACAGAAGCUCGAAACAAAUGACUGUGAAUGAAAUGCCCUAUUGAAUAGGGCUUUUCAUCGAUUGUCAUUUGUUUCGAGCUUCGUUCAAGUGUCACAUAAUAUUAAUAUAUCUACGUCAUACGUCUUUGGUUUGUAUCAUUGGCAAUAUCAAUAACAUAUGACAUAGAUAUAUUAAUAUUAGACGACACAUGACAGAAGCUCGAAAUAAAUGACUAAGUGAAAAGCCCUAUAUCAUGUAAAUACAAGUCAUAAAGAUGUCCUUCUACGGUUAAAAUUUCACAGCCUAAAGACAUCAUUUAUGUAACUUCUUAAGCCGUCACAAAAUGACUGCAAUAAGAAAAUAGAAUUUAUUAACUCGCCUCGCCCCCAGGCAAAGUAAAGGUGCUAGGCCACUAAGAAUGUUUUUUUCAAUUUUUUUAUUUUGUGGCUUUAGCGCUUAGCUAUUUAGCCAGAUACAUGAUGAGAAUUAAUACUAUUAUAAUGCAUAUUAAAACUAAUUCAAAUUACUAGUAAUUUUAUUAAUAUUCUGAAUAAUUAUGUAACCACUUAAUACUACAAUAAAAAAGUGUCCAUCUAUAUUAUCCCAACACAUUUUAACCUUUGAAAUCGUAAAUUUCCAUUCCCAUUAAAAAAAUAAUUUGUACUGUAUAAGUAUAUUUCUUUUGAGCUUCAUUUUUUUUUUUCAAAAUACUGCAACAUGAGUUUUAAAUUAUGACACAGUACAAUACUUGUUUCAAUAUUUACAUGUAAAUAAAAUAAUCCUAAUUACUUGUAAAAGUAAGGUUAUAAAUUUAAGAAUACAGAACCACCGAACAACCCGAAGGCACAGUCGACUCGGCGGGAAAAGUUCGCGCAUCUGGUUUGCGCACGGCUGGCGGCCAUUUUUUCGGUCCACAGGUCCGCUGCUGACACGAUCAAUUUGUGAUUGUUGUUGUCAGAUCACGCUUGUUUCGGGGUUACUUUGAUUUUGUGUUGUUCUGUUCGGUGAUUUUGUUUUUGUGCAUUGUGCAAUAAUAAUUAUGGAUAUGGACAAAAAGAAAGGCAGUUCGAAUUUAAUCUGUGCAGCGAUCAACUGUAAAAACACGGUAUCAAAUUUCAGCUAUAGUUUUUUUCCGUUUUCCAAAAGACGAAUCAAGGUAAGCAUUUUUAAAUUCACAAUGUUUUUAUAAAUGUGUAUGUACUUAAAUGGGUAGGUACUUGAAAAUUUGGUGUUAACUAUGAAACUUUACCUAAUCAAUUAUUUUCAAUGGGAAAUAAGCCACAAUUUUACCAAAAAAAUGAUUUUAUUAACGUUUCGACGCCCAAGUCAGGUGUUAUUGUCAAAAUACAAAAUAAUUCUUGUAUUCAAUCAUUGAAAAUAGUUGAUUAUAAAAAUGCCACAAGGAAAUAGCUUCAGAACAAAACUUUACCUAUAUUAUGUAUACAGGGUGUCCAGAAACUCUACCGACAAACGAAGACAGGAGACUCCUCAUAUAAUUUUAAGACAUUUAAACCCAA
This is a long non-coding RNA of Diabrotica virgifera virgifera (western corn rootworm), 3881 nucleotides long. RefSeq lists it as uncharacterized. Lineage: Eukaryota; Metazoa; Arthropoda; Insecta; Coleoptera; Chrysomelidae. The record is from RefSeq and is a predicted model, not a curated record. The transcript is spliced from 3 exons.